GCUGUGCCCGACCCAUCUCCUCAACCGCUUGUGUUGGUAGCACUCGCUGACACAUCUCCAGCCAAUCACCACCCCGUGCGCAGAGUGGGGGAUGCCUCGCUAUCCGAGUCACGCUGAUGUGGUCCAUUGUGAGCGUUCUAGGACAUUAUGUGGAUGCCUAUCGCGCGUUCUCUUGCUUUUGCGUAGGAUAUUGCAGCCAUAGUUUAUUUUGCAAAAUUAUUAUAACGGAAAAAUAGCUUGCUUAAUUAGCCAGGGCCAUUUGCCAACUUUACGGGAUAUAAUUUUGAAAUAACAGCUUAUGACAGAACUGAAAAAAUCAGUGUUUACAUGUGAAGUGAUUUAAAUGCAAUGAAACUCCACCCCAGGAGCGACGUGGAAAACAUGGUUUGACUAGAGACCAUUCUAAUUCAUUCUGUCUGCUUCGGUGAGCGACAACUGUAUGGAUACGCUAGGCAUUAGUUUAAAAGCGCAAUACAAACACGCUGUAUGAAAUCACUGCGCUUUUUUGAGCUUAUCGCGCUGUUCGGCCUGGAUUUGUAAUAAAUGAGAGCUUAAAGCUGAUUCCGCUGAAACGAAAUGAAAGACGCUCGGGAAGUGCUUCUUUAGGCGCCACUCCAAGCAUUCUGAGCCCGCCUGUCCAUUUUCUACCUUCCUUGACAUAUGCCUCUCUCCGGACUGUUCAUUGCUGUGCAUACCAUCUCACAGUUCGGAAUGUAAGGAUUGCACGCGACAGUUUUGAAUAUCGAAACAAUACAAGGGGAAAAUCGUUUGUUUUGGAUUUGUUCAUCGAAUAUUGUCGCUCAUAAAAGGAAGACUGACAAAAUAUCAAGAUUCUGCGUGAUGUCACCUUGGAAUUGGAAGCACGAUUGAGUGUCUUUGUGGAGUAGAAGAAGUUGUUCUCUCAACAGCAGCAGGUGAAGGGGACGACAGGUGCAGAGUUCUAUUUCACAGAUACAUGUAUAUAUAUAUAUAUAUAUACAUAUAUAUUCAUCCUUUUUAUAUACAGUAUAAUAAAAUA
This is a long non-coding RNA of Clupea harengus (Atlantic herring), 1018 nucleotides long. The record is from Ensembl. NCBI's taxonomy places the organism in Eukaryota, Metazoa, Chordata, Actinopteri, Clupeiformes, Clupeidae.